RNAcentral lists this ribosomal RNA (247 nucleotides) under uncultured bacterium. Its description in RNAcentral is "partial 16S ribosomal RNA". It matches the Rfam family "Bacterial small subunit ribosomal RNA", at positions 523 to 769 of the family's 1533-position model. The record is from RNAcentral.
AUACGUAGGUGGCAAGCGUUGUCCAGAUUUAUUGGGCGUAAAGCGAGCGCAGGCGGUUUUUUAAGUCUGAUGUGAAAGCCUUCGGCUCGACCGAAGAAGUGCAUCGGAAACUGGAAAACUUGAGUGCAGAAGAGGACAGUGGAACUCCAUGUGUAGCGGUGAAAUGCGUAGAUAUAUGGAAGAACACCAGUGGCGAAGGCGGCUGUCUGGUCUGUAACUGACGCUGAGGCUCGAAAGUAUGGGUAGC